This 23-nucleotide non-coding RNA is filed under the name Cricetulus griseus (Chinese hamster). The record is from RNAcentral. Lineage: Eukaryota; Metazoa; Chordata; Mammalia; Rodentia; Cricetidae.
CUCGGGAAGCAGAGGCAGGUGGG